Molecule: transfer RNA, 75 nt
Filed under: Trachylepis aureogularis
Lineage: Eukaryota; Metazoa; Chordata; Lepidosauria; Squamata; Scincidae
Description: tRNA-Trp
Source: RNAcentral
UAAACCAAAAGCUUAGGUUAACCAAACCGGGGGCCUUCAAAGCCCCAAACAAGGGCCGUUCCCCCUUAGCUUUUG